AUGAACGCUGGCGGCGUGCCUAAUACAUGCAAGUCGAGCGAACAGACGAGGGGCUUGCUCCUCUGACGUUAGCGGCGGACGGGUGAGUAACACGUGGAUAACCUACCUAUAAGACUGGGAUAACUUCGGGAAACCGGAGCUAAUACCGGAUAAUAUAUUGAACCGCAUGGUUCAAUAGUGAAAGACGGUUUUGCUGUCACUUAUAGAUGGAUCCGCGCCGCAUUAGCUAGUUGGUAAGGUAACGGCUUACCAAGGCAACGAUGCGUAGCCGACCUGAGAGGGUGAUCGGCCACACUGGAACUGAGACACGGUCCAGACUCCUACGGGAGGCAGCAGUAGGGAAUCUUCCGCAAUGGGCGAAAGCCUGAUGGAGCAACGCCGCGUGAGUGAUGAAGGUCUUCGGAUCGUAAAACUCUGUUAUUAGGGAAGAACAAAUGUGUAAGUAACUAUGCACGUCUUGACGGUACCUAAUCAGAAAGCCACGGCUAACUACGUG
RNAcentral lists this ribosomal RNA (496 nucleotides) under uncultured bacterium. RNAcentral describes it as "partial 16S ribosomal RNA". It matches the Rfam family "Bacterial small subunit ribosomal RNA", at positions 29 to 507 of the family's 1533-position model. The record is from RNAcentral.